AUUGAACGCUGGCGGCAGGCCUAACACAUGCAAGUCGAACGGUAACAGGAAGAAGCUUGCUUCUUUGCUGACGAGUGGCGGACGGGUGAGUAAUGUCUGGGAAACUGCCUGAUGGAGGGGGAUAACUACUGGAAACGGUAGCUAAUACCGCAUAACGUCGCAAGACCAAAGAGGGGGACCUUCGGGCCUCUUGCCAUCGGAUGUGCCCAGAUGGGAUUAGCUAGUAGGUGGGGUAACGGCUCACCUAGGCGACGAUCCCUAGCUGGUCUGAGAGGAUGACCGGCCACACGGAAACUGAGAAACGGUCCGAACUCCUACGGAGGGCGGAGGUGGGAAAAAUGGCAAAAUGGGGGAAGGCCGAAUGAGGCCAUGCGGCGGGUAUAAAAAGGGCCUUCGGUUGGAAAGUACUUUCAGCGGGGAGGAAGGGAGUAAAGUUAAUACCUUUGCUCAUUGACGUUACCCGCAGAAGAAGCACCGGCUAACUCCGUG
RNAcentral lists this ribosomal RNA (489 nucleotides) under uncultured bacterium. RNAcentral describes it as "partial 16S ribosomal RNA". It matches the Rfam family "Bacterial small subunit ribosomal RNA", at positions 29 to 507 of the family's 1533-position model. The record is from RNAcentral.